RNAcentral lists this microRNA precursor (102 nucleotides) under Ciona intestinalis (vase tunicate). RNAcentral's name for it is "microRNA cin-mir-199 precursor". Its record names the gene cin-mir-199. The record is from miRBase by way of RNAcentral. Lineage: Eukaryota; Metazoa; Chordata; Ascidiacea; Phlebobranchia; Cionidae.
UUGAUAGGACUUGAUGUGGCGGUAAAGGAUACACCUGCAGCAACUUUGCGGCACUUCGGCAUACGACAGUAGUCUGCACAUUGGGUGUCUAGCUGCUACAUG